AUGAACGCUGGCGGCGUGCCUAAUACAUGCAAGUCGAGCGAACAGACGAGGAGCUUGCUCCUCUGACGUUAGCGGCGGACGGGUGAGUAACACGUGGAUAACCUACCUAUAAGACUGGGAUAACUUCGGGAAACCGGAGCUAAUACCGGAUAAUAUAUUGAACCGCAUGGUUCAAUAGUGAAAGACGGUUUUGCUGUCACUUAUAGAUGGAUCCGCGCCGCAUUAGCUAGUUGGUAAGGUAACUGCUUACCAAGGCAACGAUGCGUAGCCGACCUGAGAGGAGGAUAGGCAAAAAUGGAAAUGAGACAAGGACCAGAAGAAGAAGGGAGGCAGAAGUAGGGAAUCUUCAGCAAUGGGAGAAAGCAUGACGGAGCAAAGAAGCGGGAGUGAUGAAGGUCUUAGGAUCGUAAAACUCUGUUAUGAGGGAAGAACAAAUGUGUAAGGAACUAUGCACGUCUGGAGGGUAACUAAUCAGAAAGAAACGGCGAACUAAGUG
This 496-nucleotide ribosomal RNA is filed under the name uncultured bacterium. Its description in RNAcentral is "partial 16S ribosomal RNA". It matches the Rfam family "Bacterial small subunit ribosomal RNA", at positions 30 to 507 of the family's 1533-position model. The record is from RNAcentral.